GACGAACGCUGGCGGCGUGCUUAACACAUGCAAGUCGAGCGGUAAGGCCCUUUCGGGGGUACACGAGCGGCGAACGGGUGAGUAACACGUGGGUGACCUGCCCUCAGCUCUGGGAUAAGCCUGGGAAACCGGGUCUAAUACUGGAUAUGACUCCAUGACGCAUGUUGGUGGGGUGGAAAGCCUUGUGCGGCUGAGGAUGGGCCCGCGGCCUAUCAGCUUGUUGGUGGGGUGAGGCCUACCAAGGCGACGACGGGUAGCCGGCCUGAGAGGGCGACCGGCCACACUGGGACUGAGACACGGCCCAGACUCCUACGGGAGGCAGCAGUGGGGAAUCUUGCGCAAUGGGCGAAAGCCUGACGCAGCGACG
Molecule: ribosomal RNA, 367 nt
Filed under: uncultured bacterium
Lineage: Bacteria
Description: bacterial SSU rRNA
Rfam family: Bacterial small subunit ribosomal RNA
Source: RNAcentral